Molecule: ribosomal RNA, 253 nt
Filed under: uncultured bacterium
Lineage: Bacteria
Description: partial 16S ribosomal RNA
Rfam family: Bacterial small subunit ribosomal RNA
Source: RNAcentral
UACGGAGGGUGCAAACGUUGCUCGGAAUCAUUGGGCGUAAAGCGCACGUAGGCGGCCGAAUAAGUCGGGUGUGAAAGCCCUGGGCUCAACCCAGGAAGUGCACUCGAAACUGCUCGGCUUGAAUAUGGAAGAGGGUCGCGGAAUUCCCGGUGUAGAGGUGAAAUUCGUAGAUAUCGGGAGGAACACCAGUGGCGAAGGCGGCGACCUGGGCCAAUAUUGACGCUGAGGUGCGAAAGCGUGGGGAGCAAACAGG